UACGUAGGGUGCGAGCGUUGCCCGGAUUUAUUGGGCGUAAAGGGCGCGCAGGCGGCCACGCACGUCCGUUGUGAAAUCGCCCGGCUCAACUGGGCGGGGUCAGCGGAUACGGCGUGGCUGGAGCAAGCUAGGGGGCAAUGGAAUUCCCGGUGUAGUGGUGGAAUGCGUAGAUAUCGGAAGGAACACCAGUGGCGAAAGCGGCUUCCUGGUCCAGCACCGACGUUCAGGCACGAAAGCGUGGGGAGCAAACAGG
RNAcentral lists this ribosomal RNA (253 nucleotides) under uncultured bacterium. RNAcentral's name for it is "partial 16S ribosomal RNA". It matches the Rfam family "Bacterial small subunit ribosomal RNA", at positions 524 to 776 of the family's 1533-position model. The record is from RNAcentral.